Molecule: ribosomal RNA, 570 nt
Filed under: Photobacterium sp.
Lineage: Bacteria; Pseudomonadati; Pseudomonadota; Gammaproteobacteria; Vibrionales; Vibrionaceae
Description: bacterial SSU rRNA
Rfam family: Bacterial small subunit ribosomal RNA
Source: RNAcentral
GGAUAUUGCACAAUGGGGGAAACCCUGAUGCAGCCAUGCCGCGUGUAUGAAGAAGGCCUUCGGGUUGUAAAGUACUUUCAGUUGUGAGGAAGGCGUUGAAGUUAAUAGCUUCAGCGUUUGACGUUAGCAACAGAAGAAGCACCGGCUAACUCCGUGCCAGCAGCCGCGGUAAUACGGAGGGUGCGAGCGUUAAUCGGAAUUACUGGGCGUAAAGCGCAUGCAGGCGGUCUGUUAAGCAAGAUGUGAAAGCCCGGGGCUCAACCUCGGAACAGCAUUUUGAACUGGCAGACUAGAGUCUUGUAGAGGGGGGUAGAAUUUCAGGUGUAGCGGUGAAAUGCGUAGAGAUCUGAAGGAAUACCGGUGGCGAAGGCGGCCCCCUGGACAAAGACUGACGCUCAGAUGCGAAAGCGUGGGGAGCAAACAGGAUUAGAUACCCUGGUAGUCCACGCCGUAAACGAUGUCUACUUGAAGGUUGUGGCCUUGAGCCGUGGCUUUCGGAGCUAACGCGUUAAGUAGACCGCCUGGGGAGUACGGUCGCAAGAUUAAAACUCAAAUGAAUUGACGGGGCCC